This 661-nucleotide small RNA is filed under the name Pan troglodytes (chimpanzee). RNAcentral's name for it is "retained intron". The record is from RNAcentral. Lineage: Eukaryota; Metazoa; Chordata; Mammalia; Primates; Hominidae.
AGAAGUCCAUUGGAAUAUUAAGCCCAGGAGUUGCUUUGGGGAUGGCUGGAAGUGCAAUGUCUUCCAAGUUCUUCCUAAUGGCUUUGGCCAUAUUUUUCUCCUUCGCCCAGGUUGUAAUUGAAGCCAAUUCUUGGUGGUCGCUAGGUAUGAAUAACCCUGUUCAGAUGUCAGAAGUAUAUAUUAUAGGAGCACAGCCUCUCUGCAGCCAACUGGCAGGACUUUCUCAAGGACAGAAGAAACUGUGCCACUUGUAUCAGGACCACAUGCAGUACAUCGGAGAAGGCGCGAAGACAGGCAUCAAAGAAUGCCAGUAUCAAUUCCGACAUCGAAGGUGGAACUGCAGCACUGUGGAUAACACCUCUGUUUUUGGCAGGGUGAUGCAGAUAGGUAGGAAAACAUUUAAAAUAUUUUUUAAAAACAUUAACUUUUUUUCCUAGAAGAAAUCCUUAGCAUUUACUUCAUGCUUGAUAGAAAGCAUGAAGGAGGAUGCCUUCCAGCUCGGGUGGUGGCUUGGGCAUUUUUGUCAUUAUAGCAAAUGAUGUUAAUUCCUGUCCCUACACCUGAUGAUAAGUUUUGGAUUUUAAUCAAAUCAGGAGGCAAGUAUCACAGACACCUUCAUUUUUCCAAACACUUAAUUUUUCUAUAAAGCAUUUUGUUUAAA